UAGCAUUGCGGCUGCUUUAACAUGCAAGUCGAGCGGCAGCGCGGGCUUCGGCCUGGCGGCGAGUGGCGAACGGGUGAGUAAUGCAUCGGAACGUGCCCAGUAGUGGGGGAUAGCCCGGCGAAAGCCGGAUUAAUACCGCAUACGACCUGAGGGUGAAAGCGGGGGACCGAAAGGCCUCGCGCUAUUGGAGCGGCCGAUGUCGGAUUAGCUAGUUGGUGGGGUAAAGGCUUACCAAGGCGACGAUCCGUAGCUGGUCUGAGAGGACGACCAGCCACACUGGGACUGAGACACGGCCCAGACUCCUACGGGAGGCAGCAGUGGGGAAUUUUGGACAAUGGGGGCAACCCUGAUCCAGCCAUGCCGCGUGCGGGAAGAAGGCCUUCGGGUUGUAAACCGCUUUUGUUCGGGAAGAAAUCCUCUGGGCUAAUACCCCGGGGGGAUGACGGUACCGGAAGAAUAAGCACCGGCUAACUACGUGCCAGCAGCCGCGGUAAUACGUAGGGUGCGAGCGUUAAUCGGAAUUACUGGGCGUAAAGCGUGCGCAGGCGGUUGUGCAAGAC
Molecule: ribosomal RNA, 560 nt
Filed under: Caldimonas aquatica
Lineage: Bacteria; Pseudomonadati; Pseudomonadota; Betaproteobacteria; Burkholderiales; Sphaerotilaceae
Description: bacterial SSU rRNA
Rfam family: Bacterial small subunit ribosomal RNA
Source: RNAcentral